This 433-nucleotide ribosomal RNA is filed under the name uncultured bacterium. RNAcentral's name for it is "bacterial SSU rRNA". It matches the Rfam family "Bacterial small subunit ribosomal RNA", at positions 29 to 507 of the family's 1533-position model. The record is from RNAcentral.
AACGAACGCUGGCGGCAUGCCUAACACAUGCAAGUCGAACGAAGCCUUCGGGCUUAGUGGCGCACGGGUGCGUAACGCGUGGGAAUCUGCCCCUCGGUUCGGAAUAACAGUUAGAAAUGACUGCUAAUACCGGAUGAUGACGAAAGUCCAAAGAUUUAUCGCCGAGGGAUGAGCCCGCGUAGGAUUAGCUUGUUGGUGGGGUAAUGGCCCACCAAGGCGACGAUCCUUAGCUGGUCUGAGAGGAUGAUCAGCCACACUGGGACUGAGACACGGCCCAGACUCCUACGGGAGGCAGCAGUGGGGGAUAUUGGACAAUGGGCGAAAGCCUGAUCCAGCAAUGCCGCGUGAGUGAUGAAGGCCUUAGGGUUGUAAAGCUCUUUUACCAGGGAUGAUAAUGACAGUACCUGGAGAAUAAGCUCCGGCUAACUCCGUG